RNAcentral lists this transfer RNA (68 nucleotides) under Diplodiscus japonicus. RNAcentral describes it as "tRNA-Gly". Lineage: Eukaryota; Metazoa; Platyhelminthes; Trematoda; Plagiorchiida; Diplodiscidae. The record is from RNAcentral.
GUGCUAGUAGUAUAAUGUUGUGAAGUGUGCUGUCUUUCCAAGUCAGAGGUCCAGGUUUGGCUAGUAUA